RNAcentral lists this ribosomal RNA (467 nucleotides) under uncultured bacterium. RNAcentral's name for it is "bacterial SSU rRNA". It matches the Rfam family "Bacterial small subunit ribosomal RNA", at positions 12 to 525 of the family's 1533-position model. The record is from RNAcentral.
UUUGAUCCUGGCUCAGAACGAACGCUGGCGGCAUGCCUAAUACAUGCAAGUCGAACGAACACUUCGGUGUUAGUGGCGCACGGGUGCGUAACGCGUGGGAAUCUGCCCUUGGGUUCGGAAUAACAGUUGGAAACGACUGCUAAUACCGGAUGAUGACGAAAGUCCAAAGAUUUAUCGCCCAAGGAUGAGCCCGCGUAGGAUUAGCUAGUUGGUGAGGUAAAGGCUUACCAAGGCUACGAUCCUUAGCUGGUCUGAGAGGAUGAUCAGCCACACUGGGACUGAGACACGGCCCAGACUCCUACGGGAGGCAGCAGUAGGGAAUAUUGGACAAUGGACGAAAGUCUGAUCCAGCAAUGCCGCGUGAGCGAUGAAGGCCUUAGGGUUGUAAAGCUCUUUUACCCGAGAUGAUAAUGACAGUAUCGGGAGAAUAAGCCCCGGCUAACUCCGUGCCAGCAGCCGCGGUAAUA